Molecule: ribosomal RNA, 448 nt
Filed under: uncultured bacterium
Lineage: Bacteria
Description: bacterial SSU rRNA
Rfam family: Bacterial small subunit ribosomal RNA
Source: RNAcentral
AGGCAUGCAAGGUCGAACGGGUCCCUUCGGGGACUAGUGGCGCAAGGGUGAGUAACACGUGAGCAACCUGCCCCCCGAAUCCGGAAUAAUCCAGGGGAAACUUGGUCUAAAACCGGAUGUCGGCGUUUACCCGCAUGGGUUUCCGCCGAAAUAUUCAUAGUUCGGGGAUGGGCUCGCGUCCCAUUAGCUGGUUGGCGGGGUAACGGCCCACCAAGGCUACGACGGGUAGGUGGUCUGAGAGGAUGGUCACCCACACUGGGACUGAGGCACUGCCCAGACUCCUACGGGAGGCUGCAGUCGAGAAUCUUCCGCAAUGGGGCCGCAAGCCUGACGGAGCGAUGCCGCGUGAGGGAAGAAGGCCUUCGGGUUGUAAACCUCUGUCACCCGGGACGAAAUCAAUGACGGUACCGGGAAAGGAAGCCACGGCUAACCACGUGCCAGCCGCCGC